RNAcentral lists this microRNA precursor (60 nucleotides) under Rattus norvegicus (Norway rat). RNAcentral describes it as "Rno-Mir-7-P1_pre stem-loop". It matches the Rfam family "mir-7 microRNA precursor family", at positions 16 to 77 of the family's 91-position model. Rfam says of the family: This family represents the microRNA (miRNA) precursor mir-7. Lineage: Eukaryota; Metazoa; Chordata; Mammalia; Rodentia; Muridae. The record is from RNAcentral.
UGGAAGACUAGUGAUUUUGUUGUUGUGUCUGUGUCCAACAACAAGUCCCAGUCUGCCACA